AAUCCCAGAUGAGAAAGGACAGUAACUGAACUGAUUGCAGGAUAAAGACUGGAGGAACAUUGAACUACCAACACUUGAUAUAGAAAGUGUGGGUGGACAGGAGACCUUUGAGGAAGG
RNAcentral lists this unclassified non-coding RNA (117 nucleotides) under Amphimedon queenslandica. Its description in RNAcentral is "kIF1-binding protein homolog, transcript variant X1". The record is from RNAcentral. Lineage: Eukaryota; Metazoa; Porifera; Demospongiae; Haplosclerida; Niphatidae.